AUUCCGUUAUGAGGAAACUUCUGUAAUAAUUCUUUGUACCUUUCCCAUGCCUCAUACAAAGACUCAUCAUCCAUUUUUUGGAAAGUAGUGAUCUCGUUCCUCAACUU
Non-coding RNA from Gossypium hirsutum (cotton), 107 nucleotides. Lineage: Eukaryota; Viridiplantae; Streptophyta; Magnoliopsida; Malvales; Malvaceae. The record is from Rfam.